AACCCAUUAUGAAGUCACAUUCUCAAAAGAUCCUUAAAUCUCUCCCAUGCAUCAUGUAAUGUUUCCAAAUCAAUUUGAGCAAAAGAAGAGAUAUUGAUUCUCAACUU
This is a non-coding RNA of Gossypium hirsutum (cotton), 107 nucleotides long. The record is from Rfam. Lineage: Eukaryota; Viridiplantae; Streptophyta; Magnoliopsida; Malvales; Malvaceae.